UACGUAGGGGGCUAGCGUUGUUCGGAUUUACUGGGCGUAAAGCGCGCGUAGGCGGAUUGUUAAGUCCGGGGUGAAAUCCCGGAGCUCAACUCCGGAACUGCCUUUGAUACUGGCAAUCUUGAGGCUGGAAGAGGUGGGUAGAAUUCCCAGUGUAGAGGUGAAAUUCGUAGAUAUUGGGAAGAAUACCAGUGGCGAAGGCGGCCAACUGGGCCAUAACUGACGCUGAGGUGCGAAAGCGUGGGGAGCAAACAGG
RNAcentral lists this ribosomal RNA (253 nucleotides) under uncultured bacterium. RNAcentral's name for it is "partial 16S ribosomal RNA". It matches the Rfam family "Bacterial small subunit ribosomal RNA", at positions 524 to 776 of the family's 1533-position model. The record is from RNAcentral.